Ooceraea biroi (clonal raider ant) is the source of this 1393-nucleotide long non-coding RNA. RefSeq lists it as uncharacterized. The record is from RefSeq and is a predicted model, not a curated record. Lineage: Eukaryota; Metazoa; Arthropoda; Insecta; Hymenoptera; Formicidae.
AAUAUUUUUCGUCUUGUUAUCAGAAAUCCUUUCUGAGGGUGUACUGAUGACUUUUCCAGAAAUAAAAUUGCGACGAUGGACCCUUCAUUCAGAGAUUUAUUUUGAAGAAUCCAAUAUCUUCAGUAUUAAAUGCGAAUUUUUGGAAUUAGGUGACAGCAUCAAACAGGAAAUGAAACAUUCCAAGAGAAGAUUGAAGGGGAACUGUAGCAAGGAGAAAGAGUUGAGAGAGCAAGUAAAAGAGAGAGAGAGUGAGAGAGAGGGCGAGGGGAAUAUAGGGAAAGAGAAAAAGAGAGAGAGGGCAAGAGAGAAUCGACCGGGGAGAGCGCCCUGUAUAUCCUGGGUGGAACUUAAAAUAUCGAGCGUCACGCACAUCGACGCUGGCGCCGGAAACUCGGUGGAAAAGCCGCGGCGCCGCGUCGCGACUCGCCACGUCGGCUGGAUGGACGCGUGCGUCGCCGAGAAACCUGGAAAUAGAACUCGAACGCCACGAGAGAGAAGGAGAAAGAGGCACAGAGAUAGAUAGAUAGACAGAGAGAGAGGGAGAGAGAAAAAGAAAGAGAGAGAUCAUCUUUGCCAAAAGCUCCACGAGAAUUGGAAUUUUCAACAGGUGAAAAAGUGGAAAUUCCAGUACGCCGGGAGAUAGACCGAAAGAGUUGCACGUGAGAUCUCGCGCCGACCUUCUAUCGCCGCGACAAUAGAGAGACCAGAAAAUAUCCGGACAAUCUAGGCACCGUGACGUCAAGUUUCGAGUGCAUCGGAGUGGCCAGCAAGGACGACCAUGCAGUCGGUGUUCCCGCUCUCAUGGGACUGCGGAAGGGUAUCUCUACAUAGAAAGACGGCGUUCACCAGGAAUGCUGAAACGCGACAUUCCAGGAUGGAAAAGUCCACAGCCACGGUGGGUGGCCUUUAUCUUUCCGCCUUUUCCUCUCAUCCGGGAAAAUUCAUCCGGCGCUAGUCAAUAGUUCGGAAUGCAAUCAAAUAAAAAUAAUAUGCGCAUUCAUAAGAAACUGCAGUAUAAGAAUUUUAUGUUACUUUUAAUAUGCAGAAUUUUAUAUUAAUAUUAAUAUGACGCUAAUUUCUAACGUAUUUAAAAAAUAUUAGACAUUUAAACUUGAGUUCAAGUAUAAUAACGAUCUCGAUAAUUGACGUAACUUUAUGCAUUUCACAGAAUCGCAAACCGCGGAAUCAUAGUAACUCGAUGUUCGCGGUUACUGCGAACAAGAAUGCUUAAGAUAGGCGACACGACAUUAAGAUAGGCAUGACGCGUAACACUGUGCAGUAAUAUUUAUAAUAAUUAUUGUAUAAUUAAUUGUGUAAGCGAUUACCACAAAACAUUGGGUUGGCCAAAAAGUAAUUGCGUUUUUUUUUAUAUAAAUAAAAGGCGAAAUUUUCA